RNAcentral lists this non-coding RNA (45 nucleotides) under Trichobilharzia regenti. Lineage: Eukaryota; Metazoa; Platyhelminthes; Trematoda; Strigeidida; Schistosomatidae. The record is from RNAcentral.
AUCCAACUGACGAUUUCCAAAUAGGACGAAACGCGCAUCCUGGAU